Long non-coding RNA from Canis lupus familiaris (dog), 1555 nucleotides. RefSeq lists it as uncharacterized. The record is from RefSeq and is a predicted model, not a curated record. The transcript is spliced from 4 exons. Lineage: Eukaryota; Metazoa; Chordata; Mammalia; Carnivora; Canidae.
CCGCCGAGGAGCGCGAGGAGCGCGAGGACCCCGGGGCUGCCGCCGACUGCGGCCGACGCCCUGCGCUCGCUGCGUGCGCUCCUGCGCCCCCGCGCUGCCCCGAGGGUCGGGGGACCCCUGGGAGGAGGAGGAUGGCAGGAGGCAAAGAGAGGACUAAUUCACAGCAGCAAUGUCCACAAUAGCCAAACUGAGGAAGGAGCCACGAUGUCCGUCGACGGACGCAUGGAUAAAGAGGAUGCGGUCCAUGUGUACGUGGAAUACUGCUCAGCCCUCAGGAGGGAGGACACCCGCCAUCUGCUUCGGCGCGGAUGCACCUGGAGGGUAUUAUGCUGAGUGAAAGAUAUUGAGAGAGCACAAACAAGGGGAGCAGAAGCAGAGAGACAGGGAGAAACAGACUCUCUGCCAAGCAGGGACCUUGAUGUGGGGCUCAAUCCCAGGACCUGGAGAUCAUGACCUGACCUGAAGGCAGAUGUCCAACUGGCUGAGCCACCCAGAUACCCCAGCAACAGAGCAAAUUUCUCCACGUGGAUACAUUGGGAAUAGAUAAACAAUCUUUUGGCCUUGGAUUGCUGGUUCAUCUUGACCUGGCAGAAAAGUUUACCUCACCUACAUGUGAUGGAAUAGGAGACAGAUGUAAGUGGGUGUGAUUUGGAUUGCCUUCUUAUGGGGAGGAGGUGAGUGCUUGGGUUAUUAGUGACAUUUUGAAAUAGAAAAUAUGAGAAAAAGAGUGUGUGGAAGUAGAACAGCCAGAAAGGGACAAUAGGCAUUUGUGGUUUUACUUUACAUCUCUCUCUCUCUCUCUCUGUCUUGCUCAAUCUCUCCCCCCCUCCUGCUUUUCCUUCUUUUCCUUUCCUAUUGCCCCCCCCCCCCGCCCCCCACAAUAGCAACCUGAUUUUCCAUGGGGAAUCACCUCCUUCCCACUCUUAGUUUGGUUUGGUUUGGUGUUAAUCACACUAACUCUGCCUCCAGGGAUUGGCAUUUGAGAACACCAAAUCUCCUUGGCCAAAUCAAAGCUUGUUGAGAUGCAAAGCUGGAUUUUUUGAAAGGAAAGCAUUCAUUAUUGUUUAUGCUGGACUUGGAGCUGUGAGGAUGUAAGCCUGGAGCUUUUAGCAACUGUCUUGCCACCUGGAGAGCUGGGCCUGUGGGAGAAUGGAGUCAAGGUACAGGGAAGCAAAGGUGAGAAAAAGGAAAGAACCACAACCUCUGGGAUUGGCUGUGCUAUACCCAGAGCUACCUGGUAAAUUUUUCAAUUGUGUCAACCAGUGAAUUCCUUUCUCUAAGCCUAUUUGAAAUGUUUUCUUUCCUUCCUUUUUUUCCUUCCUCUCUCUCUCCCUUUCACUGAAAGAACCCUAAAUAUCAUAAAAAAGUAUCUGUAUACUCAUGCAUUUCCUGGAGCUAAAGAUGACAUAAGUUUGGUUAAAAGAGAACUUAAAAUACUAUUUACAAACAAACCCUCUUUUUUUAAGAUUUUAUUUUUUUUUAAGAUUUUAUUUAUUUAUUCAUGAGAGAGAGAGAGAGAAAGAGAGACAGGAGGGAGAAGCAGGCUCCAUGAAGG